CCCAGGAAGGAACCAGGGCAGAGGAAACCACAUCUCCCGAUGCCCCUUGCCCGAGCUGCUGCCCUUUCCUUGAGGAUCAUCCUUCUCCUGCACUGGGCCCCUCAGGUCCCUUUCCCUCCUCUCUGAGAGUGGCACCCCACCACCAUCUCUUAUGUCCCCCCUCCUGACUGUCUACAUCACUGGCUCAGAUGUGGGGUAUGCUCACUCGAUGCGCCUUCCCUCCCCAACCGUACCAUGUGCAGAGGGUGCAGGAGAAGGGCCCUGCCCCAGGCACAUGGCUCUCUGGCUUCUCAGCUCCUCCCCAAGGGCCUGGCUUGCUCAGUUGUCUGAGCCCCUUGGGCAGGUGUUGGGGGACAAGGAGCUGCCCUCCCCCUCCCUGGGAAGCAACAGAAGAAUGUUUACAUUGCCAUACAGAAUGUAACAGCCCUUGCUCACCCCUCCCAGUCACUGCAUGGCCUCUGCCCACCCUGUGCCUGCCCACUCCCCUGACACCAACACUUUGCAAGUCGCUGUCACAACUAGAUGGGGUCUCAGAAGGGAAGUAGCCAUCACACCAUUAAAAAGCCUGUGGACCUU
This 576-nucleotide long non-coding RNA is filed under the name Rattus norvegicus (Norway rat). RNAcentral describes it as "long non-coding RNA NONRATT029202". Lineage: Eukaryota; Metazoa; Chordata; Mammalia; Rodentia; Muridae. The record is from RNAcentral.